CACCAAGAAGGGGAAGGGGAAAAGGGGGGAAAAAAGGGGGCUCUUUCCCACUAAAUUCAAGCUGUCUGCAGCUGGCUGUGGCCAGGAUUUCCCCUCUUUUGUCAACAGACCAUGCCACUGCUAACACAGGAGGGGAGGAAAGAAAGGGCUACCUCCUCCCCGAAAGGUUCUUCUGCAGUGAUAACUGUACUAUUGGCUACAGACUCUGAAAGCAGAUGUGUCCUCAACAUAACAAGGAAUAUGAAAAUGGAGGGAAAGAAGAUACUGUAAGCAUAGCAAAAGUCUGACAAAAUGACAGCAGCCUUGCCUCUUGCAAAAGAUCACGGAUUAAUUUUUCCUCCAUAGUUCAAAAAGAACAGAGGCAGAUGGAGUCCAAGAUCAUUUUCCCUUUAGACCUAGAGUGCCAGAUGUGUAAAACCGGAUAAACAAUAAAUUUAUUCCUACAAAUAA
Pipra filicauda (Wire-tailed manakin) is the source of this 450-nucleotide long non-coding RNA. RefSeq lists it as uncharacterized. The record is from RefSeq and is a predicted model, not a curated record. The transcript has 4 exons. Lineage: Eukaryota; Metazoa; Chordata; Aves; Passeriformes; Pipridae.